GCGAACGCGGUGCCGGCGGCAGGUGUGAGACGGUGUGUGCAAGGGUUAUGCGGAAUUAGGGGGCGUAAUGGAGGCGUAGGCGGUGUGGUAAGACAGAUUUGAAAUCCCGGGGCUUAACCGCGGAACUGAAUCUGAUACUGGCAAGCUGGAUUGUCGUAGAGGGGGGUAGAAUUCCAGGUGGAGCGGUGAAAUGCGUAGAGAUCUGGAGGAAUACCGGUGGCGAAGGCGGCCCCCUGGACAAAGACUGGCGCUCAGGUGCGAAAGCGUGGGGAGCAAACAGGAUUAGAUACCCGGGUAGUC
Molecule: ribosomal RNA, 300 nt
Filed under: uncultured Pyrodictium sp.
Lineage: Archaea; Thermoproteati; Thermoproteota; Thermoprotei; Desulfurococcales; Pyrodictiaceae
Description: bacterial SSU rRNA
Rfam family: Bacterial small subunit ribosomal RNA
Source: RNAcentral